Molecule: transfer RNA, 58 nt
Filed under: Salmo salar (Atlantic salmon)
Lineage: Eukaryota; Metazoa; Chordata; Actinopteri; Salmoniformes; Salmonidae
Rfam family: tRNA
About the family: Transfer RNA (tRNA) molecules are approximately 80 nucleotides in length. Their secondary structure includes four short double-helical elements and three loops (D, anti-codon, and T loops).
Source: Rfam by way of RNAcentral
UGGCUCAGUUGGUAGAACAUGGUGUUUGCAAUGCCAGGGUUGUGGGUUCAAUUCCCAU